Molecule: ribosomal RNA, 1102 nt
Filed under: Acremonium sclerotigenum
Lineage: Eukaryota; Fungi; Ascomycota; Sordariomycetes; Hypocreales; Bionectriaceae
Description: eukaryotic LSU rRNA
Rfam family: Eukaryotic large subunit ribosomal RNA
Source: RNAcentral
GGGAUUGCCCUAGUAACGGCGAGUGAAGCGGCAACAGCUCAAAUUUGAAAUCUGGCCUCACGGUCCGAAUUGUAAUUUGUAGAGGAUGUUUCUGGCGACGUGUCUUCCGAGUUCCCUGGAACGGGACGCCAUAGAGGGUGAGAGCCCCGUCCGGUCGUACACCUAGCCUCUGUGAAACUCCUUCGACGAGUCGAGUAGUUUGGGAAUGCUGCUCUAAAUGGGAGGUAUACGUCUUCUAAAGCUAAAUACCGGCCAGAGACCGAUAGCGCACAAGUAGAGUGAUCGAAAGAUGAAAAGCACUUUGAAAAGAGGGUUAAAUAGUACGUGAAAUUGCUGAAAGGGAAGCGCUUAUGACCAGACUUGGGCUCGGUGAAUCAUCCGGCGUUCUCGCCGGUGCACUUUGCCGUCCCAGGCCAGCAUCAGUUCGCGCCGGGGGAUAAAGGUUUCGGGAAUGUAGCUCCCUCGGGAGUGUUAUAGCCCGUUGCGUAAUACCCUGGCGUGGACUGAGGUCCGCGCUCUGCAAGGAUGCUGGCGUAAUGGUCAUCAGUGACCCGUCUUGAAACACGGACCAAGGAGUCGUCUUCGUAUGCGAGUGUUCGGGUGUCAAACCCCUACGCGUAAUGAAAGUGAACGUAGGAGAGAGCUUCGGCGCAUCUCCGACCGAUCCUGAUGUUCUCGGAUGGAUUUGAGUAAGAGCAUACGGGGCCGGACCCGAAAGAAGGUGAACUAUGCCUGUAUAGGGUGAAGCCAGAGGAAACUCUGGUGGAGGCUCGCAGCGGUUCUGACGUGCAAAUCGAUCGUCAAAUAUGGGCAUGGGGGCGAAAGACUAAUCGAACCUUCUAGUAGCUGGUUUCCGCCGAAGUUUCCCUCAGGAUAGCAGUGUUGAACUCAGUUUUAUGAGGUAAAGCGAAUGAUUAGGGACCCGGGGGCGCUUUUUAGCCUUCAUCCAUUCUCAAACUUUAAAUAUGUAAGAAGCCCUUGUUGCUUAGUUGAACGUGGGCAUUCGAAUGUAUCAACACUAAUGGGCCAUUUUUGGUAAGCAAAACUGGCCGAUGCGGGAUGAACCGAACCCGAGGUUAAGGUGCCAGAGUAAACGCUCAUC